Molecule: ribosomal RNA, 468 nt
Filed under: uncultured bacterium
Lineage: Bacteria
Description: partial 16S ribosomal RNA
Rfam family: Bacterial small subunit ribosomal RNA
Source: RNAcentral
GACGAACGCUGGCGGCGUGCUUAACACAUGCAAGUCGAACGGAAAGGCCCUGCUUGCAGGGUGCUCGAGUGGCGAACGGGUGAGUAACACGUGGGUGAUCUGCCCCUUACUUUGGGAUAAGCCUGGGAAACUGGGUCUAAUACUGGAUAGGACCAUGCUGUAGGUGGUGUGGUGGAAAGAUUAGUUUCGGUAAGGGAUGAGCUCGCGGCCUAUCAGCUUGUUGGUGGGGUAAUGGCCUACCAAGGCGUCGACGGGUAGCCGGCCUGAGAGGGUGGACGGCCACUUGGGAACGGGGUGACGGCCCAGACUCCAACGGGAGGCAGCAGGGGGGAAUAUGGCACAAUGGGCGCAAGCCUGAGGCGGCGAGGCGGGGUGGGGAUGACGGCCUUCGGGUUGUAAACUCCUUUCAGCCAUGACGAAGCCCUUGUGGUGACGGUAGUGGUAGAAGAAGCACCGGCUAACUACGUG